Molecule: long non-coding RNA, 464 nt
Filed under: Vulpes vulpes (red fox)
Lineage: Eukaryota; Metazoa; Chordata; Mammalia; Carnivora; Canidae
Description: lncRNA (ENSVVUG00000014863.1)
Source: RNAcentral
AUGGAAAGUGAAAAGAUAAGUAGAUAGAAGAAAAGAGGAAAAUACUCUAGAAGGACUAAUAAAACCACACUUUCGUUUUUUACACAGAUAACCAAAAAGAACCUGACAAGGUGAAUCAUGAAUCACUAAUGCUGUAAUUACAAAAGAGCAGUGUCACUGGCUACUCCAAACACUGCUUAUUCAGGAAGCCAAGAGGCCAUGCAGCAAUGGGUUUUUCACCUGCCUAUUUUAGUAGAAUGAACAGAGAGCCCAAGAGGGAAAUUACUCCAAAGGGAGACUGGAUAUCCAUACAACAACAACAACAACAACAACUACUGUUUGGUCUCUUUGUCAGAGUCCACACAAAAUCAAACUCUGGUAGAUUAUAUAUCUAUAUGUGAAAAUCACAAGUUUCAGAAGAUCAUAUAGGAGAAUACCAUCAUACUCUUGGGGUAGGAAAAUAAAAUGAAUGAAAUUGAAAACCA